Molecule: ribosomal RNA, 1413 nt
Filed under: uncultured Bordetella sp.
Lineage: Bacteria; Pseudomonadati; Pseudomonadota; Betaproteobacteria; Burkholderiales; Alcaligenaceae
Description: partial 16S-23S ribosomal RNA intergenic spacer
Rfam family: Bacterial small subunit ribosomal RNA
Source: RNAcentral
CGAACGGCAGCACGGACUUCGGUCUGGUGGCGAGUGGCGAACGGGUGAGUAAUGUAUCGAACGUGCCUAGUAGCGGGGGGAUAACUACGCGAAAAAGCGUAGCCAAUACCGGGCAUACAGCCCUUCGGGAAAGCGGGGACCUUCGGGCCUCGCACUAUUAGAGCGGCCGAUAUCGGGAUUAGUUAGUUGGUGGGGUAACGGCUCACCAAGGCGACGAUCCGCAGCUGGUUUGAGAGGACGACCAGCCACACUGGGACUGGAGACACGCCCACUCCGCCGGGAGGCAGCAGUGGGGACCGGACAACAAAACCCUGAUCCAGCCAUCCCGCGUGUGCGAUGAAGGCCUUCGGGUUGCAAAGCACUUUCGGUAGGAAAGAAACGGCACGACAAUACCCGUGCAACUGACGGUACCCAGAGAAUAGCACCGGCUAACUACGUGCCAGCAGCCGCGGUAAUACGUAGGUGCAAGCGUUAAUCGGAAUUACUGGCGUAAAGCGUGCGCAGGCGGUUCGGAAAGCAUGAAAUCCCAGAGCUUAACUUUGGAACUGCAUUUUCAAUCACCGAGCUAGAGUGUGUCGGAGGGAGGCGGAAUUCGCGUAGCAGUGAAAUGCGUAGAUAUGCGGAGGGAGCACCGAUGGCGAAGCGGCAGCUCUCUGGGAUAACACUGACGCUCAUGCACGAAAGCGUGGGGGAGCAAACAGGAUUAGAUACCCUGGUAGUCCACGCCCUAAACGAUGUCAACUAGCUGUUGGGGCCUUCGGGCCUUGGUGGCGCAGCGCAUCGGUGAAGUUGACCGCCCGGGGAGUACGGUCGCAAGAUUAAACUCAAAGGAAUUGACGUGGACCCGCACAAGCGGUGGAUGAUGAUUAAUUCGAUGCAACGCGAAACCCUUACCUCUACCCCUAUGGACAUGUCUGGAAUCCCGAAGAGAUUUGGGAGUGCUCGCAGAGAACGAACAGGUGUUGGCAUGGCUGUCGUCAGCUCGUGUCGUGAGAUGUUGGUUGGAGUCCUUGGCAACGAGCGCAACCCUUGUCAUUAUUACAUGAAAGGGCACUCCACGAGACUGCUGGUGACAACCGGGAGGAAGGUGGGGAUGACGUCAGUUCGUCCCCAUGGCUCCUAUGGGUAGGGCUUCACACGUCAUACAAUGGUCGGGACAGAGGUCGCCAACCCGCGAGGGGGAGCCAAUCCCAGAAACCCGAUCGUAGUCCGAUCGGUAGUCUGCAACUCGACUGCGUGGGUCGGAAUCGCUAGUAAUCGCGGAUCAGCAUGUCGCGGUGAAUACGUUCCCGGGUCUUGUACACACCGCCCGUCACACCAUGGAGUGGCUUUACCAGAAGUAGUUAGCCUAACCGUAAGGAGGCGAUUACCACGGGCAGGAUCCAUGACUGGGGUGAAGUCGUAACAAGGUAG